This 268-nucleotide ribosomal RNA is filed under the name uncultured prokaryote. RNAcentral's name for it is "partial 16S ribosomal RNA". It matches the Rfam family "Bacterial small subunit ribosomal RNA", at positions 524 to 792 of the family's 1533-position model. The record is from RNAcentral.
UACGUAGGUGGCAAGCGUUAUCCGGAAUUAUUGGGCGUAAAGAGCGCGCAGGUGGUUGAUUAAGUCUGAUGUGAAAGCCCACGGCUUAACCGUGGAGGGUCAUUGGAAACUGGUCGACUUGAGUGCAGAAGAGGGAAGUGGAAUCCCAUGUGUAGCGGUGAAAUGCGUAGAGAUAUGGAGGAACACCAGUGGCGAAGGCGGCUUCCUGGUCUGUAACUGACACUGAGGCGCGAAAGCGUGGGGAGCAAACAGGAUUAGUACCCUGGUA